CCUUCGAUAGCUCAAUUGGUAGAGCGGGGGACUGUAGAUUUAUAAUUGUGAUCCCCAGGUCGCUGGUUCGAAUCCGGCUCGAAGGA
This is a non-coding RNA of Nematostella vectensis (starlet sea anemone), 86 nucleotides long. Lineage: Eukaryota; Metazoa; Cnidaria; Anthozoa; Actiniaria; Edwardsiidae. The record is from Rfam.